RNAcentral lists this ribosomal RNA (484 nucleotides) under uncultured bacterium. RNAcentral describes it as "partial 16S ribosomal RNA". It matches the Rfam family "Bacterial small subunit ribosomal RNA", at positions 28 to 523 of the family's 1533-position model. The record is from RNAcentral.
GAUGAACGCUGGCGGCGUGCUUAACACAUGCAAGUCGAACGGUGAAGCAGGAGCUUGCCCUUGUGGAUCGGUGGCGAACGGGUGAGUAACACGUGAGCAACCUGCCCCUGACUCUGGGAUAAGCGCUGGAAACGGCGUCUAAUACUGGAUAUGUGAUGUGACCGCAUGGUCUGCAUCUGGAAAGAAUUUCGGUUGGGGAUGGGCUCGCGGCCUAUCAGCUUGUUGGUGAGGUAAUGGCUCACCAAGGCGUCGACGGGUAGCCGGCCUGAGAGGGUGACCGGCCACACUGGGACUGAGACACGGCCCAGACUCCUACGGGAGGCAGCAGUGGGGAAUAUUGCACAAUGGGCGGAAGCCUGAUGCAGCAACGCCGCGUGAGGGAUGACGGCCUUCGGGUUGUAAACCUCUUUUAGCAGGGAAGAAGCGAAAGUGACGGUACCUGCAGAAAAAGCACCGGCUAACUACGUGCCAGCCGCCGCGGUAA